CAGCCGCCGCGGUAACACGUAGGAGGCAAACGUUAUCCGGAUUUACUGGGCGUAAAGCGCGUGUAGGUGGUUUGGUAAGUAGGGCGUGAAAGCUCCUGGCUCAACUGAGAGAGGACGUUCUAAACUGCCAAGCUUGAGGAUGGUAGAGGGAGGUGGAAUUCCGGGUGUAGCGGUGGAAUGCGCAGAUAUCCGGAGGAACACCAGUGGCGAAGGCGGCCUCCUGGACCACUCCUGACACUCAGACGCGAAAGCUAGGGUAGCAAACGGGAUUAGAGACCCCGGUAGUCCUAGCCCUAAACGAUGUAGACUUGGCGUCGGUGGUUUAAUCGCCAUCGGUGCCGUAGCUAACGCGAUAAGUCUACCGCCUGGGGACUACGGCCGCAAGGUUAAAACUCAAAGGAAUUGACGGGUCCCCGCACAAGCAGCGGAGCGUGUGGUUUAAUUCGAUGCUACACGAAGAACCUUACCUGGGUUUGACAUAGAGGUAGUAGGGAAGCGAAAGCGGACCGACCCUUCGGGGAGCCUCUACAGGUGUUGCAUGGCUGUCGUCAGCUCGUGUCGUGAGAUGAUCGGUUAAGUCCGCUAACGAGCGCAACCCUCGCUGUGUGUUACAAGUGUCACACGGUACUGCCGAUAUUAAGUCGGAGGAAGGUGGGGAUGACGUCAAGUCAGCAUGACCUUUAUAUCCAGGGCUACACACACGCUGCAAUGGCCAGUACAAUGGGGUUGCCAAGCCGCGAGGCGGAGCCGAUCCUAAAAAGCUGGCCUCAGUUCAAAUUGCGGUCUGCAACUCGGCUGCAUGAAGUUGGAGUUGCUAGUAACCGCAGGUCAGCAAUACUGCGGUGAAUACGCUCCCGGGGAUUGCACACACCGCCGGU
Molecule: ribosomal RNA, 878 nt
Filed under: uncultured Chloroflexota bacterium
Lineage: Bacteria; Bacillati; Chloroflexota
Description: bacterial SSU rRNA
Rfam family: Bacterial small subunit ribosomal RNA
Source: RNAcentral